CGUGCUAAUCUGCGAUAAGCGCCGGUAAGGUGAUAUGAACCGUUAUAACCGGCGAUUUCCGAAUGGGGAAACCCAGUGUGAUUCGUCACACUAUCAUUAACUGAAUCCAUAGGUUAAUGAGGCGAACCGGGGGAACUGAAACAUCUAAGUACCCCGAGGAAAAGAAAUCAACCGAGAUUCCCCCAGUAGCGGCGAGCGAACGGGGAGGAGCCCAGAGCCUGAAUCAGCAUGUGUGUUAGUGGAAGCGUCUGGAAAGGCGCGCGAUACAGGGUGACAGCCCCGUACACAAAAGCGCAUGUGCUGUGAGCUCGAUGAGUAGGGCGGGACACGUGGUAUCCUGUCUGAAUAUGGGGGGACCAUCCUCCAAGGCUAAAUACUCCUGACUGACCGAUAGUGAACCAGUACCGUGAGGGAAAGGCGAAAAGAACCCCGGCGAGGGGAGUGAAAAAGAACCUGAAACCGUGU
Molecule: ribosomal RNA, 465 nt
Filed under: Salmonella enterica subsp. enterica serovar Newport
Lineage: Bacteria; Pseudomonadati; Pseudomonadota; Gammaproteobacteria; Enterobacterales; Enterobacteriaceae
Description: partial 23S ribosomal RNA
Rfam family: Bacterial large subunit ribosomal RNA
Source: RNAcentral